UUGCCGCCCGUUUCAUGAGCACGUGGCUGAAAAAUACAUUAAGAUAAAAUAGAAUAAAAUCCUCUUUACUUUAUGAAAGAAAAUUACGUGAGUAUCAAUAAAAGACAUCCAAAGAGGAAGAAGACGGAUUUCACUUCUGUUUUGGGCUACUUUCGUCCGUACGAUAUCAGAUAUACGUAUCAAGGCCAAGCGUCCCGCAUUAAAAAACUCGCAAUGAAAACGUAAUGAUGGUGGAACGCGAGACCGGAUCACGAAAGUCUCCAGAGAAGCGCGAUUAAUUAACGGUCUCCAUUUUUUAAUCUCCAUUCGUGCAUGGAUUCUGUAACCCAGUUUAAAUCCAUAAUUCGUAAUUAAGAUGGACUCACUGUUGGAGAAUCCCAGGGAUCUCCGCAGAUGCCGCAUUUCCCUUUGUUUCGCUGCCAC
Molecule: long non-coding RNA, 423 nt
Organism: Formica exsecta
Lineage: Eukaryota; Metazoa; Arthropoda; Insecta; Hymenoptera; Formicidae
Exons: 3
Source: RefSeq, a predicted model, not a curated record